GUAAUAAUAGCUCAAUGGUAAGUGCCUGCUUAGCAUGCAUGAGGUCCUGGGUUCAACCCCCAGUAUCUGCA
RNAcentral lists this transfer RNA (71 nucleotides) under Camelus bactrianus (Bactrian camel). It matches the Rfam family "tRNA". Rfam says of the family: Transfer RNA (tRNA) molecules are approximately 80 nucleotides in length. RNAcentral also lists the same sequence under 1 other name. The record is from Rfam by way of RNAcentral. Lineage: Eukaryota; Metazoa; Chordata; Mammalia; Artiodactyla; Camelidae.